RNAcentral lists this ribosomal RNA (555 nucleotides) under Escherichia coli. RNAcentral's name for it is "partial 23S ribosomal RNA". It matches the Rfam family "Bacterial large subunit ribosomal RNA", at positions 717 to 1269 of the family's 2925-position model. The record is from RNAcentral. Lineage: Bacteria; Pseudomonadati; Pseudomonadota; Gammaproteobacteria; Enterobacterales; Enterobacteriaceae.
GAAACCCGGUGAUCUAGCCAUGGGCAGGUUGAAGGUUGGGUAACACUAACUGGAGGACCGAACCGACUAAUGUUGAAAAAUUAGCGGAUGACUUGUGGCUGGGGGUGAAAGGCCAAUCAAACCGGGAGAUAGCUGGUUCUCCCCGAAAGCUAUUUAGGUAGCGCCUCGUGAAUUCAUCUCCGGGGGUAGAGCACUGUUUCGGCAAGGGGGUCAUCCCGACUUACCAACCCGAUGCAAACUGCGAAUACCGGAGAAUGUUAUCACGGGAGACACACGGCGGGUGCUAACGUCCGUCGUGAAGAGGGAAACAACCCAGACCGCCAGCUAAGGUCCCAAAGUCAUGGUUAAGUGGGAAACGAUGUGGGAAGGCCCAGACAGCCAGGAUGUUGGCUUAGAAGCAGCCAUCAUUUAAAGAAAGCGUAAUAGCUCACUGGUCGAGUCGGCCUGCGCGGAAGAUGUAACGGGGCUAAACCAUGCACCGAAGCUGCGGCAGCGACACUAUGUGUUGUUGGGUAGGGGAGCGUUCUGUAAGCCUGUGAAGGUGGCCUGUGAGGG